This 305-nucleotide ribosomal RNA is filed under the name uncultured bacterium. RNAcentral describes it as "bacterial SSU rRNA". It matches the Rfam family "Bacterial small subunit ribosomal RNA", at positions 333 to 636 of the family's 1533-position model. The record is from RNAcentral.
GUUUGCCUACGGGGCGCAGCAGUGAGGAAUAUUGGUCAAUGGUCGGGAGACUGAACCAGCCAAGCCGCGUGAGGGAUGAAGGUACAGAGUAUCGUAAACCUCUUUUGUCAGGGAACAAAGGCGGGGACGUGUCCCCGGAUGAGUGUACCUGAAGAAAAAGCAUCGGCUAACUCCGUGCCAGCAGCCGCGGUAAUACGGAGGAUGCGAGCGUUAUCCGGAUUUUUUGGGUUUAAAGGUGGCGACGGCGGUCUUUUAAGUCAGCGGUCAAAGCCCGGGGCUCAACCCCGGCCCGCCGUUGAAACUGG